GAUGCCUAAGCUGAAUGCAGAAAAAUGGCUGUGUAUUAGUUCAGUGAAAUGGAGGGGAAGGGUUUUCCAGCCAGACAAAAGGAGAGGCAGGAGGCCCAGAAAUGGCUGGAGAACCACAGCAAGUUAUGAAAGUAGUUGGUCAUGAAAGAUGACUCGAGCUGUGGGACUGGUGGAUGGAGGGUCUGUGUGGACAAGUUUCAGGUGUACAAUAGAGUGAUUCAACAAAUCUGUAUAUUACUCAGUCCUCAUCAUGACUACCGUCUUUCCUACCAUUUAAAAGUAACUGACACUGAUGUUCUUAUAAGAAGCUACAGAGACACGCCAGGAGAAGGCCAGGUGAUAAAAAGGCAGAAAUUAGUGUGACCCAGCUAUGAGCCAAGGAAUGCCAACAAUCAACAGCCACCACGAGAAACUAAGAAGAGAAAAGACAGGAUUUUACCUGGAGUCUCAGUGGAAGCAUGGCUCUCCUUGAUUUGAUUGGGGAUAAUCACCUUGACUGGGGACUUAUCAGAACUACAGGACAAUAAAUUUCUGUUGUUUGAAGCCACCCAGUUUGUGGUACCUCGUUAUAGCAGCCCAAAGAAACCAACACAGAGCCAUCUGUCUUGUAGCACUGAAUGUCAACCUGGCCUGCUGGGAAAGCAGCCAAUCCAAAUCAUGGGGAAACCUCAUGGGCCAUGAAGGCACACAGCCUGAGCGUGAGCUCAAGCCCCAGGAACUCAGAAAAGUGAACAGCGUGUCCUGCUCUGAGCUUUCACCUUUCCCAGUGCAGCCACACCUUGUAGAUGCCCUUUGACCAUGCUCGUAAACUAUUUGGUUUUCCUCAGCUCCCUGAAAAGCAGAUAAGCCAACAAGAGGUACCCCAGUUACCCCUACCACAGGCUGGUGCCUGCUUCCAGAUCCCAGCAUGCUGGAAAGGCUACUCCAGCAAGAAUGCUCGCAAAACACAUCAUCUAGUGGAAAUUUUAGGCAUUUACUACAAAUUGCAGUAUGAUCCUUUGUAUGGAUUGCAUUUUGCAAAGGUACCAGAGCUGGUAAAGGACAUGUGUGUACCAGAGCAAGAGGAGCACCGUGAAAUAAGGAAAUGAAGAGCUCCCAAGUUCUGACCUUGCACAGGACCCAGGAGCCUCUGGGACGGUCAUUUCUUUUGGGAAUCCUGCCGAGGGUCAGAUCAAGCAUGAUAAGCCUUCCCUGAGAGUGGGGUAAAGGUAGCUUGGAAAUGAAUAUGACCUAGCUUCUCAGUAGAUGGAAAAGAGAAAGCUAUGUCAACAUUUUUAGAGUUAAAAAGGACGGAAGGGGCGGGAGGGAGUCAAGGAAACAAGACAUCUUGAGAAAGUGUAAUUGAAAACAAAUCCCCAAAGUUUUGAGAUAUGCUCUGAAAGCAAGGCCUUGAACAGCUCGUUUCUGAGACCAGAGCAGGUAUAUGCAAGCAUGUGAACACUUGUCCCCAAGGGUGGACCUUCAGUUUCACCGAAUAUAAGAUGUGAGCAUUGAAAGUCACCCAAAAAUGCAAGUAGGGGCCAUAGUAGCAACUACCAGUGGUCUGCUGGGGAAAAGGAAUCACAAUUACUAACUUUACACACAAUUCAUCAUAAUGUCCUGGUCAAUAGCCAGAUACUCCAAUUCAGGGAUAAAUGAUUAGAUUCAAAGCACUCAAGUUACAUAGAGCUUUGCGGGAGGCAAAGAAAACCUCUAAAAUCUGCUAUAGCCACUACAAAUUUGGGGAUGAAUUCAUGUUUCCAAUUUCAGUUCAAGUCCCCAGGCUACAGUGUUUACUGGUAAGAGUAUCUAAAUAUGGUACUGGGGUAACAGAUGGCACAUAGUACCCCCAAAAAGUUCUAAGUUGACAGAGUUAUGUGAUUGCUGUAUAUCCCGAGAGC
Molecule: long non-coding RNA, 1880 nt
Organism: Zalophus californianus (California sea lion)
Lineage: Eukaryota; Metazoa; Chordata; Mammalia; Carnivora; Otariidae
Exons: 3
Source: RefSeq, a predicted model, not a curated record